RNAcentral lists this unclassified non-coding RNA (280 nucleotides) under Hevea brasiliensis (rubber tree). Lineage: Eukaryota; Viridiplantae; Streptophyta; Magnoliopsida; Malpighiales; Euphorbiaceae. The record is from RNAcentral.
GCGGAAUUCUCCAAAAUUUUCACCCAAGCAUCUUCUGACUAACUAUAGUUAAGUAAUAAUCUGUCUAGACGGCAACACAAGAAACAUGUUCCAACAAAACAAUUGAAUUCAUUUCUCGUCACGCCAUCACAUACAUCGCCAUUGUGUUGCUCAAUGCACCUACUCAAAAGCCACCAUAGCCAGCCAACUUGAUUUCAACUUCCACUUAGAUCACAUGGAAACUAGCAUAUAAUUUAGACCAAUUAGUCCAAUACCCUUGCUGAGUAAUUUUUACUACCCG